AUUUAUUGGCGGCUUUUUAAAUUUUUUAGAGGAAUUUAUUCUAUAAAGGAUAAAACACCAAAAUCUUACUUUAAAUUGUAUUUACAGUUUGUCUACCGCUAUUUAAUUAUGUGUAAAUUUAUUUUUUUCUCUAAGGUUAGUGGUGUUUUAGGUUAAGGUUCAGCUUAUUUUAAAGAUUGAAAUAAAUUAUAUAAAUUAUUAUUUAACUAUAGUUUUUUUUUAAUAAGGAAUUAAAGAAAAAUUUAAAAGUAAAAUUUUUAAGCGAAUUAUUCUUAUUUAGAUUUUAUUUAUUUGUGUACAUAUC
This 304-nucleotide ribosomal RNA is filed under the name Amblyseius largoensis. RNAcentral describes it as "partial 12S ribosomal RNA". Lineage: Eukaryota; Metazoa; Arthropoda; Arachnida; Mesostigmata; Phytoseiidae. The record is from RNAcentral.